RNAcentral lists this ribosomal RNA (576 nucleotides) under uncultured bacterium. Its description in RNAcentral is "bacterial SSU rRNA". It matches the Rfam family "Bacterial small subunit ribosomal RNA", at positions 102 to 674 of the family's 1533-position model. The record is from RNAcentral.
ACGGGUGAGGAAUACAUCGGAAUCUACUUUUUCGUGGGGGAUAACGUAGGGAAACUUACGCUAAUACCGCAUACGACCUACGGGUGAAAGCAGGGGACCUCCGGGCCUUGCGCGAUUGAAUGAGCCGAUGUCGGAUUAGCUAGUUGGCGGGGUAAAGGCCCACCAAGGCGACGAUCCGUAGCUGGUCUGAGAGGAUGAUCAGCCACACUGGAACUGAGACACGGUCCAGACUCCUACGGGAGGCAGCAGUGGGGAAUAUUGGACAAUGGGCGCAAGCCUGAUCCAGCCAUACCGCGUGGGUGAAGAAGGCCUUCGGGUUGUAAAGCCCUUUUGUUGGGAAAGAAAUCCAGCCGGCUAAUACCUGGUUGGGAUGACGGUACCCAAAGAAUAAGCACCGGCUAACUUCGUGCCAGCAGCCGCGGUAAUACGAAGGGUGCAAGCGUUACUCGGAAUUACUGGGCGUAAAGCGUGCGUAGGUGGUUGUUUAAGUCUGUUGUGAAAGCCCUGGGCUCAACCUGGGAACUGCAGUGGAAACUGGACGACUAGAGUGUGGUAGAGGGUAGCGGAAUUCCUGGU